GCGUCGGUGGUUCAGUGGUAGAAUACUCGCCUGCCACGCGGGUGGCCCGGGUUCGAUUCCCCGCCGACGCA
RNAcentral lists this transfer RNA (71 nucleotides) under Rhipicephalus sanguineus (brown dog tick). Its description in RNAcentral is "transfer RNA glycine (anticodon GCC)". It matches the Rfam family "tRNA". Rfam says of the family: Transfer RNA (tRNA) molecules are approximately 80 nucleotides in length. Their secondary structure includes four short double-helical elements and three loops (D, anti-codon, and T loops). Lineage: Eukaryota; Metazoa; Arthropoda; Arachnida; Ixodida; Ixodidae. The record is from Rfam by way of RNAcentral.